GGCCUUAUGGUCUAGUAGUAUGAUUCCUCGUUUGGGAGAUUGAUCUAGUCAGUCAAAAAUUCGAGGAGGUCCUGGGUUCAACUCCCAGUGAGGCCC
Tephrocybe rancida is the source of this 96-nucleotide non-coding RNA. NCBI's taxonomy places the organism in Eukaryota, Fungi, Basidiomycota, Agaricomycetes, Agaricales, Lyophyllaceae. The record is from the annotation of a GenBank genome assembly.